RNAcentral lists this ribosomal RNA (468 nucleotides) under uncultured bacterium. RNAcentral's name for it is "partial 16S ribosomal RNA". It matches the Rfam family "Bacterial small subunit ribosomal RNA", at positions 28 to 507 of the family's 1533-position model. The record is from RNAcentral.
GACGAACGCUGGCGGCGUGCUUAACACAUGCAAGUCGAACGGAAAGGCCCUGCUUUUGUGGGGUGCUCGAGUGGCGAACGGGUGAGUAACACGUGAGUAACCUGCCCUUGACUUUGGGAUAACUUCAGGAAACUGGGGCUAAUACCGGAUAGGAGCUCCUGCUGCAUGGUGGGGGCUGGAAAGUUUCGGCGGUUGGGGAUGGACUCGCGGCUUAUCAGCUUGUUGGUGGGGUAGUGGCUUACCAAGGCUUUGACGGGUAGCCGGCCUGAGAGGGUGACCGGCCACAUUGGGACUGAGAUACGGCCAAGACUCCUACGGGAGGCAGCAGUGGGGAAUAUUGCACAAUGGGCGGAAGCCUGAUGCAGCAACGCCGCGUGCGGGAUGACGGCCUUCGGGUUGUAAACCGCUUUCGCCUGUGACGAAGCGUGAGUGACGGUAAUGGGUAAAGAAGCACCGGCUAACUACGUG